CGUUCUUCCGCCUAUCCUUGAGACCUAUUAUCAACAAUGUCAGGUGACUGACCUUAGGGGUUGGCUAUUAUAGAACAUCCGGAACCAACCACUUCCUUUUGCCUUUCUCACCUCAUCUGAGGCCAAAGCGGUAGAGCUCAUCUCAGCUUAAUUACGGGAGACAGUGUAGUUCCAAUUCGUCACAUUUUCGUGAAGGUGCUUCACGUUCCUGAAGAUUGCGGUGGAUCUCUCCUCAUAUAUAUCUUGGAGUGUCGUUGGAACACACGUUGCGUUAGCGUGAGCUGAGAUCGGUCGGAUGACGAGGCUCAGGUAUAAACACCGCCAAAGGUGAAGCAUCUGGUCAUGCCCAGCAUUUAGCUGAUCAUCUUCCACACUCGCAUCCAUCAUGUAAAGAGAAGAGACGUCGAGUCAAAACAGAAAAUUCAGAUUCAGGAGUCAGAUCCAUAAUCAGGUACCUCUGGAUGAACCCAUGGACCCGCAAGCUGAGGUCUCGCCCUUUACAACUCUCUCCUCUCCUCUAUCAUUUUUAAAAACAAAUCUCUUACUCUUUGUUUGUUUGUAUCGUUGGGGGGUCAUUAAAGGACUAAACAUUGGCCAGAUCACAAAGAGAGGGGUGGUUAAUAUGUUUCAGCGGCUCCAUUAGUCAAAGUGUGUGUGGGGGUAUGCAGUGUGUGUGUGUGUGUG
Long non-coding RNA from Ictalurus punctatus (channel catfish), 684 nucleotides. The record is from Ensembl. NCBI's taxonomy places the organism in Eukaryota, Metazoa, Chordata, Actinopteri, Siluriformes, Ictaluridae.